UGUAUAUGUAUGAGUUAUGAUGCGGGUUACUCNUUGUAGUAUUGCUUGCACAUACUUGUACAUUUAUUUGCAAGAUGUUGUCGGCGUGCACUUCUCCCCUAGUAGGACNUCGCGACCCGUUGGGUGUUGGUCUACGACCCGAGUNGGUAGCCUCNUAAUGUUUUNAUAACAUUAAAGACCCUUGGUGUUUUCUGACCGGCUGCUCGGCGGUAUUCGUACGGUAUUUAGCCGCAUUUUAUNAUGCGUUCAUA
RNAcentral lists this ribosomal RNA (251 nucleotides) under Heerz ecmahla. RNAcentral's name for it is "partial 28S ribosomal RNA". Lineage: Eukaryota; Metazoa; Arthropoda; Insecta; Hymenoptera; Braconidae. The record is from RNAcentral.